UGGGAGACCCUGGUCUGCACUCUAUCUGUAUUCUUAUUGAAGGGAGCGCAGGGCAGGGUUUCCCA
RNAcentral lists this microRNA precursor (65 nucleotides) under Callithrix jacchus (white-tufted-ear marmoset). Its description in RNAcentral is "microRNA cja-mir-504 precursor". Its record names the gene cja-mir-504. It matches the Rfam family "mir-504 microRNA precursor family", at positions 7 to 71 of the family's 78-position model. Lineage: Eukaryota; Metazoa; Chordata; Mammalia; Primates; Cebidae. The record is from miRBase by way of RNAcentral.